AGCUUUGCACAGUGGCAGUAUCGGCCAAUGAGGUUUAUCCAAGGCGUGAUUAUUGCUAAUUAAAAACUUUUCCCAAUACCCUGCCGUGACAACUCGCAAUAUAGUCGGCAUUGGCAAUUUUUGACAGUCUCUACGGAGA
This 139-nucleotide small nuclear RNA is filed under the name Cebus imitator (Panamanian white-faced capuchin). RNAcentral's name for it is "U4 spliceosomal RNA (ENSCCAG00000007487.1)". It matches the Rfam family "U4 spliceosomal RNA". From Rfam's summary of the family: U4 small nuclear RNA (U4 snRNA) is a component of the major U2-dependent spliceosome. The structure of U4 snRNA from yeast and human has been reported. The record is from Rfam by way of RNAcentral. Lineage: Eukaryota; Metazoa; Chordata; Mammalia; Primates; Cebidae.